RNAcentral lists this ribosomal RNA (399 nucleotides) under uncultured bacterium. RNAcentral's name for it is "bacterial SSU rRNA". It matches the Rfam family "Bacterial small subunit ribosomal RNA", at positions 64 to 507 of the family's 1533-position model. The record is from RNAcentral.
UAGGGGGUGUAGCAAUACAUCACCGGCGGACGGGUGCGUAACACGUGGGAAUAUACCUUUUGGUUCGGAACAACGCAGGGAAACUUGCGCUAAUACCGAAUGUGCCCUUACGGGGAAAGAUUUAUCGCCGGAGGAUUGGCCCGCGUUCGAUUAGCUAGUUGGUGAGGUAAUGGCUCACCAAGGCGAUGAUCGAUAGCUGGUCUGAGAGGAUGAUCAGCCACAUUGGGACUGAGACACGGCCCAAACUCCUACGGGAGGCAGCAGUGGGGAAUAUUGGACAAUGGGCGCAAGCCUGAUCCAGCCAUGCCGCGUGAGUGAUGACGGCCUUAGGGUUGUAAAGCUCUUUCGCUCGGGACGAUAAUGACGGUACCGAGAUAAGAAGCCCCGGCUAACUUCGUG